GUGCUUGUUUCAGUAGCACAUAUACUAAAAUUGGAAUGAUAUAGAGAAAAGUAGCAUGUCUCCUGCACUAGGAUGACAUGCAAAUUCUUAAAGCAUUCCAUAUUUUU
This is a small nuclear RNA of Otolemur garnettii (small-eared galago), 107 nucleotides long. Lineage: Eukaryota; Metazoa; Chordata; Mammalia; Primates; Galagidae. The record is from Ensembl.